Long non-coding RNA from Sycon ciliatum, 899 nucleotides. RefSeq lists it as uncharacterized. The record is from RefSeq and is a predicted model, not a curated record. Lineage: Eukaryota; Metazoa; Porifera; Calcarea; Leucosolenida; Sycettidae. The transcript is spliced from 4 exons.
AGACCAAAUCCCAAGCAUCUCAGCAAUGCCAGCGUUCCUCACAGGGAGCGGAAAUUGCUGGGCCCCGGAAUGAAGCUGAAAAUGAUUGCCUGCAUAAGUUUUACCCCUUGACUGGAAUCUGGUUGGGAAUCUCUCUUGUAGCUAACAAAUGGCAAUCUUCUUCUGGAGAAGUAACUUGGACGAACUUUGCGCCCGGUGAACCUAACGGAGGUGAUCCUUGUCUCCAAAUGUGGAAUGGCCGUUAUCCUGGUAAAUGGGAUGACUUGCCUUGUGCAAGCACAUUACAUUUUAUUUGUCAAAGAGUUGCUGUGAAAUGCAAUGUUUCAGCACCAGUUUCUGGCAGCGUGAACGUUACCUCCAUCCACAUUGGUGAAAGUGUGCAGUAUGAAUGCAAUACUGGGUAUGACCUGGUGGGCCCAGCAACCGCUCACUGCACUUCUCAAGGAUCGCUAACUGAAAUGCCUAUUUGUCGAGGGCUAUUGACUGGGUACAGCUACUGUCGUCAGGUUAAUGCAGUCCUGAAACGGACUCAGGGUUCCAAAUAUAUCAACUUUACAGAUGGUCAUGACAUGUGCAGGCUAUACAAUGGCAGAUUACUAAGUGUGAGCGCGUACACGGCGAGAUGCGCAUCAACAUUGCAACAAGCAACCGGUCGUGCUGCCUGGAUCAACCAGUUCGAGCCUAAUUCAAGGGAUAGCAUUGUAUACGUCUCCACAAUAGACGGUCUUUCCACUACACCUCCGACCUCCGAAAUGGCCGUCAUAUGUGAAAUACCUUGUAAUCCUACUGCCCGGGAUCACAUCGCAAGCAUAACACAAGAUGGGUUUGUAACUUGUGAAAUUGGAUAUGCCUACCUUCACCCUCAACCAGUGUGUAAUGGAACGUCGACAAUCAAAAGU